RNAcentral lists this ribosomal RNA (483 nucleotides) under uncultured organism. RNAcentral's name for it is "bacterial SSU rRNA". It matches the Rfam family "Bacterial small subunit ribosomal RNA", at positions 28 to 507 of the family's 1533-position model. The record is from RNAcentral.
GACGAACGCUGGCGGCGUGCCUAACACAUGCAAGUCGAGCGAAGCGCCUAUGACAGAUUCCUUCGGGAUGACGACAUAGGUGACUUAGCGGCGGACGGGUGAGUAACGCGUGAGGAACCUACCUUCCACAAGGGGAUAGCCUCGGGAAACUGGGAUUAAUACCCUAUGACACUUAAGGGUCGCAUGACCUUUAGGUUAAAGCGAUUUAGCGGUGGAAGAUGGCCUCGCGUCCCAUUAGCUAGUUGGUGAGGUAACGGCUCACCAAGGCGACGAUGGGUAGCCGGCCUGAGAGGGUGACCGGCCACACUGGGACUGAGACACGGCCCAGACUCCUACGGGAGGCAGCAGUGGGGAAUAUUGCACAAUGGGCGGAAGCCUGAUGCAGCGACGCCGCGUGAGCGAUGAAGGCCUUCGGGUCGUAAAGCUCUGUCCUAUGGGACGAUAAUGACGGUACCAUAGGAGGAAGCCCCGGCUAACUACGUG